Molecule: ribosomal RNA, 205 nt
Filed under: uncultured Leptotrichia sp.
Lineage: Bacteria; Fusobacteriati; Fusobacteriota; Fusobacteriia; Fusobacteriales; Leptotrichiaceae
Description: partial 16S ribosomal RNA
Rfam family: Bacterial small subunit ribosomal RNA
Source: RNAcentral
AAACGUUACUGAUAAUAACUAGGAUAAGUUAGUAUAUCGCAUGAUAUGCAAAUGAAAGCUACGGCACUAAAGGAGAGCUUUGCGUCCUAUUAGCUAGUUGGUAAGGUAAGAGCUUACCAAGGCGAUGAUAGGUAGCCGGCCUGAGAGGGUGGACGGCCACAAGGGGACUGAGAUACGGCCCUUACUCCUACGGGAGGCAGCAGCC